RNAcentral lists this ribosomal RNA (437 nucleotides) under uncultured bacterium. RNAcentral's name for it is "bacterial SSU rRNA". It matches the Rfam family "Bacterial small subunit ribosomal RNA", at positions 481 to 917 of the family's 1533-position model. The record is from RNAcentral.
ACAGAAGAAGCACCGGCUAACUCCGUGCCAGCAGCCGCGGUAAUACGGAGGGUGCGAGCGUUAAUCGGAAUUACUGGGCGUAAAGCGCACGCAGGCGGUUUGUUAAGCUAGAUGUGAAAGCCCCGGGCUUAACCUGGGAUGGUCAUUUAGAACUGGCAGACUAGAGUCUUGGAGAGGGGAGUGGAAUUUCUGGUGUAGCGGUGAAAUGCGUAGAGAUCAGAAGGAACAUCAGUGGCGAAGGCAGCUCCCUGGCCAAAGACUGACGCUCAUGUGCGAAAGUGUGGGUAGCGAACAGGAUUAGAUACCCUGGUAGUCCACACCGUAAACGCUGUCUACUAGCUGUAUGUGUAUUUAAUACGUGCGUAGCGAAGCUAACGCGCUAAGUAGACCGCCUGGGGAGUACGGUCGCCAGAUUAAAACUCAAUGGAAUUGACGGG